UCAUACACUUCCCAUCAUAGGAUUAACAAAAAUUCAAAUAAUUUUCAGUAAAAAUAAAAAAAUAUCGAUAUAACAAGUAAAAAAAUUAUGGUCUUUGGAGAGAAUAGGUGUAAGAUAUACACCAUACUUUGGGCUAUAAUUAACUAUAUAUUCUUUAUCCAACUCCUAAUUAUAAUUAUGUAGAAAUUCCUCUAAAAUGAUCAAUAUUAAAAAUAUCUUUCUAAUUUAAUAUAUAUAUAUAUAAAAUAUUCAUAUUUAUAAUAAUCAAUCUAAAAAUUAAACGAAAUUUUUAUUUUGGUCAUUAUUCAUCACCAAUGCAGUUUUAAUCAACUUAAAGAUUUUUUGGGUGAAAAUAUUAUAGAAUGCAGUCGAAUGUACACCAU
This 383-nucleotide long non-coding RNA is filed under the name Ananas comosus (pineapple). RNAcentral describes it as "long non-coding RNA (ACOM_LNC012738)". Lineage: Eukaryota; Viridiplantae; Streptophyta; Magnoliopsida; Poales; Bromeliaceae. The record is from RNAcentral.